UACGUAGGGUGCAAGCGUUAUCCGGAAUUAUUGGGCGUAAAGAGCUCGUAGGCGGUUAGUCGCGUCUGCUGUGAAAACUCGGGGCUUAACUCCGGGCCUGCAGUGGGUACGGGCUGACUAGAGUGCGGUAGGGGAGACUGGAAUUCCUGGUGUAGCGGUGAAAUGCGCAGAUAUCAGGAGGAACACCGGUGGCGAAGGCGGGUCUCUGGGCCGUAACUGACGCUGAGGAGCGAAAGCGUGGGGAGCGAACAGG
This 253-nucleotide ribosomal RNA is filed under the name uncultured bacterium. Its description in RNAcentral is "partial 16S ribosomal RNA". It matches the Rfam family "Bacterial small subunit ribosomal RNA", at positions 524 to 776 of the family's 1533-position model. The record is from RNAcentral.